CUUACACAUGCAAGUCGAACGGUAACAGGUCUUCGGAUGCUGACGAGUGGCGAACGGGUGAGUAAUACAUCGGAACGUGCCCGAGAGUGGGGGAUAACGAAGCGAAAGCUUUGCUAAUACCGCAUACGAUCUCAGGAUGAAAGCAGGGGACCGCAAGGCCUUGCGCUCACGGAGCGGCCGAUGGCAGAUUAGGUAGUUGGUGGGAUAAAAGCUUACCAAGCCGACGAUCUGUAGCUGGUCUGAGAGGACGACCAGCCACACUGGGACUGAGACACGGCCCAGACUCCUACGGGAGGCAGCAGUGGGGAAUUUUGGACAAUGGGCGCAAGCCUGAUCCAGCCAUGCCGCGUGCAGGAUGAAGGCCUUCGGGUUGUAAACUGCUUUUGUACGGAACGAAAAGACUCUGGUUAAUACCUGGGGUCCAUGACGGUACCGUAAGAAUAAGCACCGGCUAACUACGUGCCAGCAGCCGCGGUAAUACGUAGGGUGCGAGCGUUAAUCGGAAUUACUGGGCGUAAAGCGUGCGCAGGCGGUUAUGUAAGACAGAUGUGAAAUCCCCGGGCUCAACCUGGGAACUGCAUUUGUGACUGCAUAGCUAGAGUACGGCAGAGGGGGAUGGAAUUCCGCGUGUAGCAGUGAAAUGCGUAGAUAUGCGGAGGAACACCGAUGGCGAAGGC
This 677-nucleotide ribosomal RNA is filed under the name uncultured beta proteobacterium. RNAcentral's name for it is "bacterial SSU rRNA". It matches the Rfam family "Bacterial small subunit ribosomal RNA", at positions 48 to 722 of the family's 1533-position model. Lineage: Bacteria; Pseudomonadati; Pseudomonadota; Betaproteobacteria. The record is from RNAcentral.